RNAcentral lists this long non-coding RNA (446 nucleotides) under Homo sapiens (human). RNAcentral describes it as "HSALNT0085496". The record is from RNAcentral. Lineage: Eukaryota; Metazoa; Chordata; Mammalia; Primates; Hominidae.
CUUUAAUGCUCAUUUCAGCAUUUGUCAUUUGGAAUAAUUAAAUUUCUAACAUGGGAAAUAUAUGCAAUAGGUGAAAGGUAAAUUAUUUAUUUUAUAUUAUGUUUUCUACAACUGGAUACAUUUUCCAUCAGAAAAGAAGAAGAUAAAGAUGAAGACGAAGAAGACGAAGAAGAGGAGGAAGAAGAAGAAGAAGAAGAAGAACAAGAAGAAGAAGAAGAAGAAGAAGAAGAAGCAAAACCACCAUUCAAAAUCUCUUUUAAGUCAGUUGUGCAGUGCACAGAGGGAUCCCUUGGACUUUGCGGCCUAUUCAACAAGGCAAGUCUGAUUUAUGGUACUAUGUGAUAUGAAAUCAGUGUGUGUACUCACAAUAAAAGUGUGUACACAUUCAAAGUGUGUAUAUGUGUGUGCUUGUUGUGCAUAUGUAUGUGUUGAGUGCUCCUUACUAU